UUCAUCUACCAAUCAGAUGCAGCCAUUAAUUUCUUUUCCAUUUAAUUUCCACAUGCACGAUUGCGAUCGACCAUUCUGGUGGGCCCCUAGGUCUUUUUUUCCUCUUUUAAUUUCUCUCUCUCUUAUCUCAAGCAAUCUGCCUCGGUCCAACACACCGACCCUUUUUCCGCAAACUCGAGUGGAGAAAACAUCUCAUCUCUCUCCGACGGCGUCGCCGCCGUUGCUCUCUCUCCGCCCCGUCGAACGCCGAACAGAAGUGGCGCUCGAGAAGGUCUCGCCACUUCUACCACCUACGCUGACCCCAACCUCGCCUCCGUCCCGGGAUCAGACGCGGACGAUGUCAAGGUUUCUGAUGCAUUAAACAAUUUCUUUUAUGGAUUUGCUUCUUUCUUUGCUUCAAAUUUCAAUUUGUUUUACCAAUC
This 422-nucleotide long non-coding RNA is filed under the name Erythranthe guttata (spotted monkey flower). RNAcentral describes it as "long non-coding RNA (EGUT_LNC002489)". The record is from RNAcentral. Lineage: Eukaryota; Viridiplantae; Streptophyta; Magnoliopsida; Lamiales; Phrymaceae.